GGGAGUGUGGCUCAGUGGUAGAGUGCUUGCCUAGCAUGUGUGAGGCACUGGGUUCAAUUCUCAGCACCUUG
Molecule: transfer RNA, 71 nt
Filed under: Marmota monax (woodchuck)
Lineage: Eukaryota; Metazoa; Chordata; Mammalia; Rodentia; Sciuridae
Description: tRNA.Ala
Rfam family: tRNA
About the family: Transfer RNA (tRNA) molecules are approximately 80 nucleotides in length.
Source: RNAcentral